Molecule: microRNA, 20 nt
Filed under: Strongyloides ratti
Lineage: Eukaryota; Metazoa; Nematoda; Chromadorea; Rhabditida; Strongyloididae
Description: str-miR-87b-5p
Gene: str-miR-87b-5p
Source: miRBase by way of RNAcentral
CGUUAAACAUUGGCUCAACA